RNAcentral lists this ribosomal RNA (196 nucleotides) under uncultured bacterium. RNAcentral describes it as "partial 16S ribosomal RNA". It matches the Rfam family "Bacterial small subunit ribosomal RNA", at positions 326 to 539 of the family's 1533-position model. The record is from RNAcentral.
ACGCUCGACACCUAGGGAGCAGCAGUGGGGAAUAUUGCACAAUGGGGGAAACCCUGAUGCAGCGACGCCGCGUGGAGGAAGAAGGUCUUCGGAUUGUAAACUCCUGUUGUUGGGGAAAAAGAGGAUGGUACCCAACAAGGAAGUGACGGCUAACUACGUGCCGGCAGCCGCGGUAAUCUGAGCGGGCUGGCAAGGC